GUGAAAUGAUGAUUCAGUUUAUCCAUUCGGCUGAGUGUGCUGCAUUGACCUUCUUCCCAAGCCUCAGUUCCUGUUCUAAGAAACUUUUGGUGCUAUGUAGCCUCCAAAUGCCCUGGCAGAUCUGCAAUGGUCUAUUGCAGAUUGCUUGUGUGGUGGUAGCCCAUCUGAUAAAAAGUGGCUUGAUGUCUACAAAGAAUGAUGCCCAUGUGUGGUUCGAAUUUUUACCCAGAUGAGUGGGGGGCAAAUCUAGAUCAU
RNAcentral lists this small nucleolar RNA (255 nucleotides) under Ictidomys tridecemlineatus (thirteen-lined ground squirrel). RNAcentral describes it as "Spermophilus tridecemlineatus (thirteen-lined ground squirrel) Small nucleolar RNA SNORD17". It matches the Rfam family "Small nucleolar RNA SNORD17". From Rfam's summary of the family: The snoRNA HBI-43 belongs to the C/D family of snoRNAs, guiding 2'O-ribose methylation at position U3797 of the 28S rRNA. The record is from Rfam by way of RNAcentral. Lineage: Eukaryota; Metazoa; Chordata; Mammalia; Rodentia; Sciuridae.